RNAcentral lists this ribosomal RNA (306 nucleotides) under uncultured Alphaproteobacteria bacterium. Its description in RNAcentral is "bacterial SSU rRNA". The record is from RNAcentral. Lineage: Bacteria; Pseudomonadati; Pseudomonadota; Alphaproteobacteria.
GCACGCUGGCGGCAGCCUAACACAUGCAAGUCGAGCGCGCCUUCGGGUGAGCGGCGGACGGGUUAGUAACGCGUGGGAACGUGCCCUUCUCUACGGAAUAGCCUCUGGGAAACGGCAUAGUAAUACCGGUAUACGCCCUCUUGGUGGGCAAAAAUUUCAUCGGAGAAGAGAUCGUGCCACGCGUUACGAUUACAGUAGGUUAUGUAGGUGGUAACUGGCCAUACCAAGACCUACGAGUCUAUAGACUGGCUUUUCAGAGGGCAUAGAUACAGCAAUACACUGGGUACUAGAAGACACGAGCUCCAG